CAUUUCUUUGCCCGUGCAAAAUUUUCACAAGAUUCUAGCGCAACGAACAACAAAAUCCUAGACCUCUCAUACAAUAUCUGGUCAUUUAUCACUCGAACACAAUCUUCUUGAGUCACCAGUAAAGGAAUACAUAUUGCUCAACUCUUUGUUUGGGUUCAUAUAAUGGAGGGAGUGGGAGAUGACAGUGGGGCACCUAUUGCCAAAUGGAGG
Molecule: unclassified non-coding RNA, 210 nt
Filed under: Hevea brasiliensis (rubber tree)
Lineage: Eukaryota; Viridiplantae; Streptophyta; Magnoliopsida; Malpighiales; Euphorbiaceae
Source: RNAcentral